RNAcentral lists this ribosomal RNA (2799 nucleotides) under Triticum aestivum (bread wheat). Its description in RNAcentral is "partial small subunit ribosomal RNA". The record is from RNAcentral. Lineage: Eukaryota; Viridiplantae; Streptophyta; Magnoliopsida; Poales; Poaceae.
AUGGGCUCCAUCAAUGCAUCUCCGUUCGAGCUCGCCACGUCUAUAACACCAACUCCGUCUACAACCAUGGGCAACACCGUUCUGGAGCUCUGUGUUCCGCCCACUACCUUUUCGAGGGGGUGCCCAAGCGGCGACGCGUCCGAUGAGUCAGCACUCACUUCGUAUGCGGCAGCACCUUCAUCCAUGACCACCAUCGACAUCGUUCCUGAGCUCACUGCAACUGGUGGCUGCUCCGAAGUGGCGCACACCACCUGUUCGACUACGGGUCUAGACCUCGACACCGGGCAUAUCCUGGUUGCUGAGGUGCCCUUGCUCAUGGUGGACCAGUUCCUGGCGGCCAUUGAUGUCUUAUGUGAGAUCGCGACCUCUGUGGGCAAGCUCACGGUCGAGCCUCCCAUGGCGCCGCCCACAACUGGCUCAGUUGCGUGUUCUGAAAGCGAUGAAGGCGUAUCGCCCCAUGUGCCGUCGAGAAACCAGUGCUCUCCAGCUCAGUGGAAACCACCUUGGCCAAUACCAUCUCAAGUGAGUACAUCUGGUUCCUAUGAUCACCAUUAUUUCCAUAUGGAGUUUGGGAGCUUCAGUUUGGAGUUAUUGUCUGUUGAUGAGUGCUGGAAGUAUUGGAAUUGUGAGCCUGGGAAUAGUUGUGCUUCGACGGAAGAAUCAGAUGCUGAAUUACUAGAAGGUUUGGUUUCUUCUGUUGUUCCUUAUGAGCAGCACCACUCCAUUAUAGCUUUUGAAAACCUACUAGGUGCUCCUUAUUGGGUGUCCGAUAUGCACUUGAGAGUAUCCUACAGUUUUUGGCCACAUAUGCAGCAAUUUAGUGACAAUGGAUGGCUCUCAUUUGAAGUGGAAUUAUCUGUGACUGACAUGGGAGACGCUCCAUCAUAUAAUUCUCAACUAUCACAGUGGAUUAUUGCUUGGUGGUUCUCCUCUGUAUCUGCAGUUCUGGAUGACACUUCUAUGGAUACAUCUUGUGCUUGUUCAGAUUUUGGAGAAGCAUUACAGAGAAGUAGAGAUGCUUUGAGACUUCAACUAGAUGGAAUGCCUUGUCACCACAUAUCAUCUACCAUACCACCUGACAAAAAUAGAGCUUGGAAUCAGUUGCAGUAUUCUGGUUCAUUGGGAGUAUCCCUUGGAUAUGAUCUGUGCAAUCCUAAUUUGAGUUGGUGCUUGGGUGAAAUGCUCUGGGGUGUUAAGCAAUGUGGGAGACGUGCUUUGUUAUCUGCAGCUAUUGUCCUUAACACAUCGCAGCAUUUCCCAUGGAUCAUUGCUUGGUUGCCAUGUUCUUCCUAUCCUUGUUCAAGCAUGGUUGAUGCUCAGUUUUGUAGUGUUCUGGUUGUGGCAGCGCUCAAACUUGGAAAAUUUGUUCAGUUGUUGUUCUGUUUUGUUGCUGCUAUAUGUAUUCCAGAGAACAUAGCUCUGAACUACAGUGUUGCAGAUGUUAAUGAUCAGGAAAAGGGAACCUGUUAUGUUGAAUGCAAGAGUACAUUGCCUAUUAUGAUAGCUACAGAUUUGAUACACUGGAAGAAUUGUUUGCUGCUCAUUAAUGUUCUAUCCUUGGUGGCUGGGAUACCUUUUGCACUAGAGUAUGGUGAAUUACAAUCAAUGUGUUCAUGCAUGUUCCUGCAACUGAUUGUGAUACUUUGUUCAGUUUCAAGGAGAAAAUGUAUCAGUGCAUUGUCCACAUGCUACAACUGCAAUGGGACCCAGGUGAUUGCUCUGUUUCAGUUUGGCGACAUGAAAAUCUUGCAGGCACAGAUGUUAUCUGCCCAGAGCUUGGUAUUGCUACACUUCGGUAACAUGGGAUCCGGGAGCGCUAUUCAACAUCGACUUGGGGGCAAGUCGAAUCUUAUGGAGGAGGGAUUGUUAGCGACCUGGGCCUCGCUGGGCUCUCAGGCCCUACCAGCCCAAGAAGGAUACACACUACAUAUACAGAUGGAGGCCUCGAUGAGCAGGUUGGCUUGGACCGGAAGGGCUUCGGCCUUGGCUUGGCGUGGCGUGCGUCGUUCUCUUGUAGUUCCAGUUCUUCCUCAUCUGCUCUCUGAUCCCUUCUUCUUCCUUGAGAUCCACUUGCACGGCGGCGCUCACAACGUCACCAUGGCUAUCUCGCCUUCGCCGCUGCUCCUGAUGGGCCGGCGUCGUCCGAGAGGGCAAUUUUCAAGUGCCUCCCAUAGAGGGAUUCGGUAUCGCUGGAUACGGCCGGUGGUGUUGCAGCUGCGAGGUGCAGCUCUGGGAGCUCUAGCGGUAGCAUGUCUGGUGCAUGAUGAGCAUGGCCGCGCCGGACCGCGCCUCUUCCCGCUGCUCCUCAACUACUCAGUAGUGUUGAGGUGGCGGUUCCCCUUGUGGUUUCUCGCGGACAUGUUUGCGGCUGGCGUGAUGCUGCUGCGUUGGUGUAGUGUGUGUGUGCGCGCGCGUGUGCUGGGACGGCAGAGCCGGUGCAACGUGCUCGCUCCAUGGUCACAGUUGGGUUCAACUGUGGUGGCCACGAGCCUACGACAAUGUCCUUAUGUUUCAUUUGUGACUCAACUCCCAUGCUUCAUGCCCUACUGUCGUAGCCCAGUCAAAGUAGCACAUACUACGCUAAUUGCAGAAAGAUCUACGUAUAACGCUAGCAUGGCUAAAACAGAGAACAGUAGGAGCGGGAUAAACGAGUUAUACCCUCCAGUAGGCCAUGCAGAGGCCGCGGCUUUGGUGGCAGCAGCGGCGUCCUCGGCGGCCUUCUUGUCAGCUUCAGCUUUCUCGGCGGCGGCACGUUCGGCGUCGGUGGACAUGGUGAUGAUGAAGGCGACGCGGACGUAG